RNAcentral lists this ribosomal RNA (438 nucleotides) under uncultured bacterium. RNAcentral describes it as "bacterial SSU rRNA". It matches the Rfam family "Bacterial small subunit ribosomal RNA", at positions 339 to 794 of the family's 1533-position model. The record is from RNAcentral.
GUACGGGAGGCAGCAGUCGGGAAUUUUGGGCAAUGGGCGAAAGCCUGACCCAGCAACGCCGCGUGAGGGAUGAAGGCCUUCGGGUCGUAAACCUCUUUUCUCAGGGACGAUGAUGACGGUACCUGAGGAAUAAGCCACGGCUAACUACGUGCCAGCAGCCGCGGUAAUACGUAGGUGGCGAGCGUUGUCCGGAUUUACUGGGCGUAAAGAGCGCGCAGGCGGUCGUACAAGUCGAAUGUGAAAGCCCCCGGCUCAACUGGGGAGGGUCAUUCGAUACUGUUCGACUCGAAGGCAGGAGAGGGAAGUGGAAUUCCCGGUGUAGUGGUGAAAUGCGUAGAUAUCGGGAGGAAUACCAGUGGCGAAGGCGACUUCCUGGCCUGUCCUUGACGCUGAGGCGCGAAAGCUAGGGUAGCAAACGGGAUUAGAUACCCUGGUAGG